RNAcentral lists this ribosomal RNA (673 nucleotides) under Desulfomicrobium sp. P004A. RNAcentral describes it as "bacterial SSU rRNA". It matches the Rfam family "Bacterial small subunit ribosomal RNA", at positions 153 to 831 of the family's 1533-position model. The record is from RNAcentral. Lineage: Bacteria; Pseudomonadati; Thermodesulfobacteriota; Desulfovibrionia; Desulfovibrionales; Desulfomicrobiaceae.
GAUAGUCUGGUUUAAAUAAGAAGUCGUAAAGAUGCCUCUGCAUAUGCAUUCGUCCGAGGAUGAGCCCGCGUCUCAUUAGCUAGUUGGUAGGGUAAUGGCCUACCAAGGCAACGAUGAGUAGCUGGUCUGAGAGGAUGAUCAGCCACACUGGAACUGAAACACGGUCCAGACUCUACGGGAGGCAGCAGUGGGGAAUAUUGCGCAAUGGGCGAAAGCCUGACGCAGCAACGCCGUGUGAGGGAUGAAGGCUUUCGGGUCGUAAACCUCUGUCGGAAGGGAAGAACGGGCAUUGGUCUAAUAGGCCUUUGUUUUGACGGUACCUUUAGAGGAAGCACCGGCUAACUCCGUGCCAGCAGCCGCGGUAAUACGGAGGGUGCAAGCGUUAUUCGGAAUUACUGGGCGUAAAGCGCACGUAGGCGGCCUUGUAAGUCAGGGGUGAAAUCCCACGGCUCAACCGUGGAACUGCCUUUGAAACUGCAGGGCUUGAAUCCUGGAGAGGGUGGCGGAAUUCCUGGUGUAGGAGUGAAAUCCGUAGAUAUCAGGAGGAACACCGGUGGCGAAGGCGGCCACCUGGACAGGUAUUGACGCUGAGGUGCGAAAGUGUGGGGAGCAAACAGGAUUAGAUACCCUGGUAGUCCACACCGYAAACGAUGGAUACUAGGUGHCGGGGACU